RNAcentral lists this long non-coding RNA (968 nucleotides) under Capra hircus (goat). RNAcentral describes it as "lncRNA (ENSCHIG00010018086.1)". The record is from RNAcentral. Lineage: Eukaryota; Metazoa; Chordata; Mammalia; Artiodactyla; Bovidae.
GCAGCAGCUGUCCUUUGCGGGGCUGUGGACCUCACCGUGGACCUCACGCUGUGGACCUCACUGUGAACGUCACACCAUGGACCUCACACCGUGGACCUCACACCGUGGGCCUCACGCCGUGGAGCUCACCGUGAACCUCACACCGUGGAGCUCACCGAUUGUCCAGCGCUACCUCAGGUCCCUGCCAGAUGCUGCUCUCAUGCCAGGUAACAGAUGACUGAGUUAAAACACAAAUUACAAAAGGCUCCAAAGGUGGAAAGAAAGAAAUUCUGGGAGAGAUGGGGUCACAAGAUGUGGAGGGGAACCUGUGUUUCACAAGGUGGCAGGAGAAAUCGUCUCUGAAGAAGCAUCGUUUGAACAGAAAUCUGAAGAAUGGAAACAGCAGUAGACGUGAGAAGAGGACAAAGCCCAGAAUGAGGUGCGGAGGCAAGGCUGGAGAGGAAGGGAGGCCUUGGCUGCCUGAGAGAACUUCCUCUUUUGAUUUCUUGUUUCAUCAUGAGGUCAGCAUGCCCAGUGAGGCAAGGUUCCCCACGUGCGUUAAAAAUGCAGUGGAAAGACCAAACGAAAACUUGAACCCCUGUCAGCUUAUGCGUCUUUCCAUCCAGCAGAUCCCGGCCUUGUGCCCGCCGCGUGUUGAUGCGGUCUUAGCAGAUGUGGGAACGCUGCAGUGUGCAAAGCCUAAGUUCUCACUACUUGGCUUAAGAGGAAAUGUUAGCCGCUUAGAAAAAACAGGCAACAAAAACAAAAGGUUAACAAAGGCCGCAUCCUGCUCUGCGGCAGGGGACACAGCCACACACCUGGCUGCUUGUCACUGCCACAGAAAUGUGCGCAGUGUCCUGUACAGCAGAUUUAAGCCAGUGGCGGCGGGGGUUUCCCCCACAGAGAGGGGGCAUCUGAGUUUGAGAAGAGACAGCACCUUAAAAGGGGCACUUUGUUUAGCAUUGUAUUGCAUUUAUUUUAUAAAAUAG